GCCCGGAUGGCGAAAUCGGUAGACGCAAGGGACUUAAAAUCCCUCGGGGGUAACCCCGUGCCGGUUCGACCCCGGCUCCGGGCA
This 84-nucleotide transfer RNA is filed under the name Pseudomonas aeruginosa. Its description in RNAcentral is "tRNA-Leu". It matches the Rfam family "tRNA". Rfam says of the family: Transfer RNA (tRNA) molecules are approximately 80 nucleotides in length. Lineage: Bacteria; Pseudomonadati; Pseudomonadota; Gammaproteobacteria; Pseudomonadales; Pseudomonadaceae. The record is from RNAcentral. RNAcentral also lists the same sequence under 7 other names.